RNAcentral lists this ribosomal RNA (253 nucleotides) under uncultured bacterium. RNAcentral describes it as "partial 16S ribosomal RNA". It matches the Rfam family "Bacterial small subunit ribosomal RNA", at positions 524 to 776 of the family's 1533-position model. The record is from RNAcentral.
UACGUAGGGUGCAAGCGUUGUCCGGAAUUAUUGGGCGUAAAGAGCUCGUAGGCGGUCUGUCGCGUCUGCUGUGAAAACUCAGGGCUUAACCCUGAGCUUGCAGUGGGUACGGGCAGACUAGAGUGCGGUAGGGGAGACUGGAAUUCCUGGUGUAGCGGUGAAAUGCGUAGAUAUCAGGAGGAACACCGGUGGCGAAGGCGGGUCUCUGGACAGUUCCUGACACUGAGACACGAAGGCCAGGGGAGCAAACGGG